This 1388-nucleotide ribosomal RNA is filed under the name uncultured bacterium. RNAcentral describes it as "bacterial SSU rRNA". It matches the Rfam family "Bacterial small subunit ribosomal RNA". The record is from RNAcentral.
UUGAUCCUGGCUCAGGAUGAACGCUAGCGACAGGCUUAACACAUGCAAGUCGAGGGGCAGCACAGGUAGCAAUACCGGGUGGCGACCGGCGCACGGGUGAGUAACGCGUAUGCAACUUGCCUAUCAGAGGGGGAUAACCCGGCGAAAGUCGGACUAAUACCGCAUGAAGCAGGGGCCCCGCAUGGGGAUAUUUGCUAAAGAUUCAUCGCUGAUAGAUAGGCAUGCGUUCCAUUAGGCAGUUGGCGGGGUAACGGCCCACCAAACCGACGAUGGAUAGGGGUUCUGAGAGGAAGGUCCCCCACAUUGGUACUGAGACACGGACCAAACUCCUACGGGAGGCAGCAGUGAGGAAUAUUGGUCAAUGGGCGCAGGCCUGAACCAGCCAAGUAGCGUGAAGGAUGACUGCCCUAUGGGUUGUAAACUUCUUUUAUACGGGAAUAAAGUUAGCCACGUGUGGCUUUUUGUAUGUACCGUAUGAAUAAGGAUCGGCUAACUCCGUGCCAGCAGCCGCGGUAAUACGGAGGAUCCGAGCGUUAUCCGGAUUUAUUGGGUUUAAAGGGAGCGUAGGCGGGUUGUUAAGUCAGUUGUGAAAGUUUGCGGCUCAACCGUAAAAUUGCAGUUGAUACUGGCGACCUUGAGUGCAACAGAGGUAGGCGGAAUUCGUGGUGUAGCGGUGAAAUGCUUAGAUAUCACGAAGAACUCCGAUUGCGAAGGCAGCUUACUGGAUUGUAACUGACGCUGAUGCUCGAAAGUGUGGGUAUCAAACAGGAUUAGAUACCCUGGUAGUCCACACAGUAAACGAUGAAUACUCGCUGUUGGCGAUAUACAGUCAGCGGCCAAGCGAAAGCAUUAAGUAUUCCACCUGGGGAGUACGCCGGCAACGGUGAAACUCAAAGGAAUUGACGGGGGCCCGCACAAGCGGAGGAACAUGUGGUUUAAUUCGAUGAUACGCGAGGAACCUUACCCGGGCUUAAAUUGCAACUGACUGAACCGGAAACGGUUCUUUCUUCGGACAGUUGUGAAGGUGCUGCAUGGUUGUCGUCAGCUCGUGCCGUGAGGUGUCGGCUUAAGUGCCAUAACGAGCGCAACCCUUAUCGAUAGUUACUAGCAGGUCAUGCUGAGGACUCUAUUGAGACUGCCGUCGUAAGAUGUGAGGAAGGUGGGGAUGACGUCAAAUCAGCACGGCCCUUACGUCCGGGGCUACACACGUGUUACAAUGGGGGGUACAGAAGGCAGCUACACGGCGACGUGGUGCUAAUCCCGAAAGCCUCUCUCAGUUCGGAUUGGAGUCUGCAACCCGACUCCAUGAAGCUGGAUUCGCUAGUAAUCGCGCAUCAGCCACGGCGCGGUGAAUACGUUCCCGGGCCUUGCACUCACCGCCCGUCAAG